This 765-nucleotide ribosomal RNA is filed under the name Septoglomus sp. Its description in RNAcentral is "partial large subunit ribosomal RNA". It matches the Rfam family "Eukaryotic large subunit ribosomal RNA", at positions 71 to 680 of the family's 3401-position model. The record is from RNAcentral. Lineage: Eukaryota; Fungi; Glomeromycota; Glomeromycetes; Glomerales; Glomeraceae.
AUGAUUCCCCUAGUAACGGCGAGUGAAGAGGGAUAAGCUCAAAUUUUAAAUCUGAUCGGUUUUACUUAUCAGAAUUGUAAUUUGAAGAAACGUUUUCUGUGUCUUGAAUUAGCCUAAAUCUUUUGGAACAAGGUAUCAUGGAGGGUGACAAUCCCGUUCAUGGUUAAUUUUAAGGCGCGUUACGAUACGUUUUCAAAGAGUCGAGUUGUUUGGGAUUGCAGCUCAAAAUGGGAGGUAAAUUUCUCCUAAAGCUAAAUAUUGGCGAGAGACCGAUAGCGAACAAGUACCGUGAGGGAAAGAUGAAAAGAACUUUGAAAAGAGAGUUAAACAGUACGUGAAAUUGUUGAAAGGGAAACGAUUGAAGUCAGUCGUACUAACGGGAAAUCAACCUUUUUGAGUCGUAAAUUUUGGAUUUUGAAGAGUUUAAACCUUCGGGUUCAAAUAUUUGCACUUUUUAGGCGUAAUUUCUCGUUCGGUAGGUUAACAUCGAUUUUGAACAUUAUAAAAUGAUCGGAGGAAUGUUGCUUCGAUCUUGUAUUGAAGUGUUAUAGCCUUUGGUAGAUGUAAUGAUCGAGAUCGAGGAUUGCAACGAAUACCCUUUUGGGCUAUCCGUCUGAUCUCUGAUACGUUGCCUCGGUAACGAAAGCGUGCUUACGGUAUUGAGGUAUUACGGUCAAAAGGUUAGAACGUGAUUACAUUCGUUAAGGAUGUUGACGUAAUGGCUUUAAACGACCCGUCUUGAAACACGGACCAAGGAGUCUACAG